AGUGACCAGGGGAAGAGUUUUGCAGAAAUUUCUUCCUGAACUGAUAAGGAAGGACCCCGUGGUUUAAUGGAUGGGGCUUUAACCUACCCAGAGGUCAGUCUCUGCUGGACAAGUGGAACCUCAUCCCUGAGGGCAUUGACAUACUCAUGACACAUGGACCUCCUCUAGGUUUUCGAGACUGGGUUCCAAAGGAGCUUCAAAGAGUGGGCUGUGUGGAGCUGUUAAACACGGUUCAGAGGCGAGUCCGGCCCAAGCUCCAUGUGUUUGGUGGAAUCCACGAAGGUUAUGGCAUCAUGACCGACGGUUACACAACGUACAUCAAUGCCUCGACGUGUACAGUCAGCUUUCAACCGACCAACCCUCCAAUUAUAUUUGACCUUCCAAACCCACAGGGUUCCUGAAGCUCUAAAUGCCCUAUUGGAAUGUGAGGGAAGGUCUAUAAACUGCCAUUUUUCUAAUUAUAAACUUACAUUCUCUUACUUAUUUACAAACCCUGUGAGUUCUUUUUGUAAAUUGUUGGAACACAAAUGAUGCUAGAGGUUGUGCUUCUUAUUUUAUUUUAUUUUAAAUGGGGCAUCCAUUUGAAAUCAGAGGAACAUUGUGAAUUUGUAAAAUGACUUCUGUUUUCUCAAAGGCCAUGCCAUUGUAAAUUGUUAGUGUUCGCCAAAGGACAGCCAAGCUUUCUUUUAAAAAGUGAUAAAAGUCUUAUUUUAAUAUGCUUUAAGCUGAAAGAAAAAAAAAAUAAGAAACAGGCAGUGUUUUAAAAACCAACACAGAUUUGCACAACUGUUUAAGAGUAUUGUUUAUUUUAAUUUUCAAUGUUUUGUUGUUGUUGUUUUCUUGGUAAUGCUUCUUUUUUGCAGCUGUGGUCCCGAUUUAUAGCAAUCUUCUCAACAGAAGUAGGCAUGGAAAAGACUUCUUUUCAUACUCUCACUAUAAAGAAAGCUGCAUUGAGAAGAAAAUGGCUGUCAUUUAAAGGAUGGUUUAACUAGUGA
RNAcentral lists this small RNA (995 nucleotides) under Pan troglodytes (chimpanzee). RNAcentral describes it as "processed transcript". The record is from RNAcentral. Lineage: Eukaryota; Metazoa; Chordata; Mammalia; Primates; Hominidae.